UAAUAAAACCACCCCACGAGCAUUCAGAGUACUCACCAUAAUGCUUUCGGCCCAAGACUGUGAGGGCUGCCAGGGACAGAACCGAGCCUGGGAAGUGUGUGGGCAAAGCUCGCUGAGUCUGGGGGUCAUGGAGGAGGGAUCUGGUCUUCAAUCUGCUCCACUGUCAUUUGCAGAAACCCCAUGGUAACUUCCUGUCCCAGUCUGCACAUCUUCUCCAGCAGACAACUGGGAACUUGCUACUAGAAAGCAGAAAACUAAGCAUCAGAAGCUAACUGCACAGUGCCUGGCUUUAGCCUGCUUCUGAAGCAGACCUGCCAGCCUCUUUCCUCUUUGCUACUGCCAAGCAGCUCUUGAUAAGUUGGCAUGGUCCCACCUCUCCAACUGCUUUCCUUCAAAACGGCCAAUUGCUGUAUUUUCCUUUGCUUGAAUUGCCAGAUUCUAUCUCCAGUUUGGGCCAUGCACGUAGGCAAAGGGGAGCCUGCAAGUGCCAGGCACCUCUUGGCUUUGGUAACUGGGGCAAAAACAGACACUGCAACUAGGAAGCCAUUGGAUGACACCCUUAAAUCCUUCUUCCACAGCAGGCAUCGCUGACAGAUCUGAGCCCUAGUCCUCACAGCCUAGAGCACAGUCUACUCUGCAGCUCAGCUGCCCGAGUAACUUUGCCUAGAGUUUAGUGUGGAUCCCUAAAGACAACCAAAGCCAGGAGCCAAAUGGUGAUUCUUUGAGACAAUACAAGACAGGUUUUUCCAAGCAAGUAACUGGUUAUCCUUAAAAUCCACCCCCAUUCAACAGAUGGAAAAAUUGAGACUGAGAACGUGGGUGGCUUAAGAUCGUGUGCCUAGUAAGUGACAGAUGGAGUGAGUGAAACUAGUCCUAUUUACACCUGAAACCCGCUGUCCCUGGAGGGUCACACAGCCUUCAGAGAGGGGACCGAGAAGGAGCCAGGACAAGACAGUGUGGGGUCAGACAGAGAGAGAAACUUAGUUCCUAGGAGAAAGGGGGAGAGAGACAGGAGGAAGAUGGCAGAACAAAUCACCCAGGUUCCCCAGUCCAACCUAGGCCUGGGCCUGGGCUGAAACCAGAGAACCUACGUGGAAGCCAGGAGUCUCACCAGAACACAGGGGCUGUGCCUAGCGGGACUCAGGACAGUUCCUUGCCAGCCACGAAGAGAAUUGAGUGGACAAUAUCUACUGUGUGAUAAAGUUUCCCGGCACAGACCCUCGGUGAAACACACGGCCCUUGACGUAUCUGGUUGCACGUGUCAGCGUCUUCCAACCAUAACAAAACAACUGAGAGCGGUAUCUUAGAAGGGAAGGCUUGUGGUUCACUCCAUAGUUACCUCGGUUGCCUUAGGCCUGUGACUGCACACUUUAUCAUGGUUGGACACACAAAGCUGAACACAUCAUGCCAGCUGAGAAGCCAGAGAGAGAAAGAAAUGGACAAGAAUCCCAUCAUGGCUCUCAAGGAGAAGCCCCCAGUGGCCUAACGGCCUCCCACCGGGUCCCACCAGUCAGAUGCUCUACCGCCUUGUGUAGGCUGGUGACCAAGCCUUUAAUACCUACCCUGUGGAGGACAAGCCCUAGUCCUGUUCAGGACACAGUCUGUGGCUGCAAGCAUCUUUGCAUUGCUACACAGCGUGACAGCAUUGACGUCACCCAAGUUCCUUCCUCUGGCUCUGAAAUCACUUGGUCAUUGGCUUCUCCCCUACUUUCUGGAAUAAACACACAUAACUGAGUCCAGCCAAAUGAGCUUCCACAUGGAAUCUGACGUUUAUCAAGGAAGAAACAAUAAAAAAUGUGCUAGUUUA
Molecule: long non-coding RNA, 1807 nt
Organism: Alexandromys fortis (reed vole)
Lineage: Eukaryota; Metazoa; Chordata; Mammalia; Rodentia; Cricetidae
Exons: 3
Source: RefSeq, a predicted model, not a curated record